Molecule: ribosomal RNA, 497 nt
Filed under: uncultured bacterium
Lineage: Bacteria
Description: partial 16S ribosomal RNA
Rfam family: Bacterial small subunit ribosomal RNA
Source: RNAcentral
GAUGAACGCUGGCGGCGUGCCUAAUACAUGCAAGUCGUUCGAACGGACGCGCAUCUUGCUUCUCUGAUAUUAGCGGCGGUCGGUAGCGUAACACGUGGUUAACCUACCUAUAAGACUGAGAUACCUUCGGGAAACCUGACCUCAUACCUGAUAAUAUUUUGAACUGCCUGGUUCAUAAGUAAAAGCCCUUCUUGCUGUCACUUCUUGAUGUUUCCUCGCUGCAUUAGCUAGUUGGUAAGGUAACGGCUUACCAAGGCAACGAUGCAUAGCCGACCUGACAAGGUGAGCGGGCACACUGGAAAUGAGAAACGGUCAAGACGGCAACGGGAGGCAGCAGUAGGGAAUCUUCCGCGAAGGGCGGAAGAAUGACGGAGAAACGCCGCGUGAGUGAUGAAGGUAUUCGGAGCGUAAAAAUAUGUUAUUAGGGAAGAAAAGAGGUGUAAGUAACGGUGAACAUAGUGACGGUACCUAAUCAGAAAGCCACGGCUAAAUACGUG